RNAcentral lists this ribosomal RNA (482 nucleotides) under Chersonesometrus tristis. Its description in RNAcentral is "Heterometrus tristis partial large subunit ribosomal RNA". It matches the Rfam family "Bacterial large subunit ribosomal RNA", at positions 1832 to 2600 of the family's 2925-position model. Lineage: Eukaryota; Metazoa; Arthropoda; Arachnida; Scorpiones; Scorpionidae. The record is from RNAcentral.
GGUUUUUAGAAAGUGUUAAAAAUUAGACCUGCUCAAUGAAAGUUAAAUGGCCGCAGUAUUGUGACUGUGCAAAGGUAGCAUAAUAAUUUGUCUUUUAAUUUAGGACUGGAAUGAACGGUUAGACCGAGUGAUUUUGUCUUUGGGUUAUAUUUUGAAUUUUAUAUUUUAGUAAAAAAGCUAAAAUUUAUUUCAGGGACGAGAAGACCCUGUCAAACUUUACAAACGUACUCUUUCUUUCUUUAGGAAUAGUAAGUUUGUUUUACUGGGGCAGUAGAUAAUAAAAUUUUAUUUAAUAAUUAUGAGUUUUGUUCUUGUAAAACCAGGAAUUUCCUAAUAAAAAAUAAGUUACUGUAGGGAUAACAGCGUAAUUCUUUUUUAGAGUUCUUAUCGAUACGAGAGUUUGCGACCUCGAUGUUGGAUUAAAAUACCUUUUUCGCGCAAUAGGGAGAGAAGGAAGUCUGUUCGACUUUUAAAAUUUUCCA